RNAcentral lists this ribosomal RNA (253 nucleotides) under uncultured bacterium. Its description in RNAcentral is "partial 16S ribosomal RNA". It matches the Rfam family "Bacterial small subunit ribosomal RNA", at positions 524 to 776 of the family's 1533-position model. The record is from RNAcentral.
UACGAAGGGGGCUAGCGUUGCUCGGAAUCACUGGGCGUAAAGCGCACGUAGGCGGCUUGUUAAGUCAGGGGUGAAAUCCUGGAGCUCAACUCCAGAACUGCCUUUGAUACUGGCGAGCUUGAGUUCGGGAGAGGUGAGUGGAACUGCGAGUGUGGAGGUGAAAUUCGUAGAUAUUCGCAAGAACACCAGUGGCGAAGGCGGCUCACUGGCCCGAUACUGACGCUGAGGCACGAAAGCGUGGGGAGCAAACAGG